Molecule: long non-coding RNA, 1359 nt
Organism: Rhinolophus ferrumequinum (greater horseshoe bat)
Lineage: Eukaryota; Metazoa; Chordata; Mammalia; Chiroptera; Rhinolophidae
Exons: 3
Source: RefSeq, a predicted model, not a curated record
GAGUGGGAUUUUCCUCUUCUGCUGAUUUGAUUUUUAACUUUGGGGGUUUAUUCUUUGUGGAAUGUGUAGCAUUUGGGUGGAGACCUAUUUCUAAGGCACUAUGAGGGGGUGGUGGCAGCAGGGUUUCUUUCCCCACUGCAGGUGUUUGGAUAAGGUUUGGGGUCACACACGGUUGCCCUGCAUCUUCUGUCCUGCUGGCCGGGACCAUGUGGUUGGUUCCCAAGACCCUGCUGGCUGCCUGGCCGAGCAUCAGGAAAGGCGGUGCACAGAGUCAUGCUGUCUGGAGGCUUUCCGUUCCUCUCAUCGUGAACCUAGCUACACUCACGUGGAAAUGGCACCAUUAGGGGACACAAAAGACUGAGAAAACACAGUUCCAGGGGGCGGAAACUCACCGGAGCGUGGAGGAGACACGUCCACCGACAUUUACAAACGUUUGCUGAACACAAUCAGCUGGUUUUACAUCCACCAGAGAGGAGGCUGAGCUCAGUCACCCACUUAAGUAAGCCUCAUGCUCCAACCCCGGUGAGGACUGGGGCGUCCACACAAGUUCUGCCUGUCCCCUGAGGCCUGUGAGACUCAAGUGCUGUGAAGACCCUGAAGAGGCCUCUGGCCCCCCAACUUCGCUUCCCAAGGACUGAAGACUUCGUGCUCAGAGGACCUCAGCGCAGCUUCCACGCACACCAAUGCUCAGUGAGUGCUGGUGUUAGUAUUACAAACCGGUUACUGUGUGGGAGUCAGGAAGGCCAGGGCUCAGAGCAGAUGCUGCGGGGGAGGGGAGGCAGGGCUGCAGGGUCGCCUGGGACGGCCCCACCAACCUGAACACUGCUGGUGUUAUCACCACAGAUGCCACGCUGAGGUUCAGGCACCCACGACACAUCAAGUCCCUCCACUGCUCCACCCCACACCCCACACUCUGCCCCUGCCCCUGUGGGCCUCACCAUUGCCACCCCCAGCCUGAGGGAUAGGAUUGUCCUAUGGUUUUAUACGCUAAAUCUGGCAACCCUAAGUGAAGGGGUUAAGAAUAAACAGCUACUGGAUUUAAAUCACCCUGACUUUGGACCCUAAGACUCAUGAAAAGCUGUGAGUAUGUAAGCAUUCUGACUACUAAUCCUCACUUUGCUGUGGGGCUUGGCUGAGAGUCAUUUUGUUUCUACACCACUAUGGAUGGAAAUACUGAAGUAGAGCCUGGGUUUUUGGUUUGUUUGUUUUUUGCUUCUUAAUUCAAAAGUUUCCCAGACACAGAGAAGGACUUAUAAACCAGCUGAAGAGCCUUACACUCUUUUACCUAAAGUAUCUAAAGUACUUUAGGUAAAAUAAAGAGUAAUAGAGAUAUCUGCGAUAUUGAUAGGCCCUGAUCCU